RNAcentral lists this ribosomal RNA (497 nucleotides) under uncultured bacterium. Its description in RNAcentral is "partial 16S ribosomal RNA". It matches the Rfam family "Bacterial small subunit ribosomal RNA", at positions 28 to 507 of the family's 1533-position model. The record is from RNAcentral.
GAUGAACGCUGGCGGCGUGCCUAAUACAUGCAAGUCGAGCGAACAGACGAGGAGCUUGCUCCUCUGACGUUAGCGGCGGACGGGUGAGUAACACGUGGAUAACCUACCUAUAAGACUGGGAUAACUUCGGGAAACCGGAGCUAAUACCGGAUAAUAUAUUGAACCGCAUUGUUCAAUAGUGAAAGACGGGUUUGCUGUCACUUAUAGAUGGAUCCGCGCCGCAUUAGCUAGUUGGUAAGGUAACGGCUUACCAAGGCAACGAUGCGUAGCCGACCUGAGAGGGUGAUCGGCCACACUGGAACUGAGACACGGUCCAGACUCCUACGGGAGGCAGCAGUAGGGAAUCUUCCGCAAUGGGCGAAAGCUUGACGGAGCAACGCCGCGUGAGUGAUGAAGGUCUUCGGAUCGUAAAACUCUGUUAUUAGGGAAGAACAAAUGUGUAAGUAACUAUGCACGUCUUGACGGUACCUAAUCAGAAAGCCACGGCUAACUACGUG